GUGCCAGCAGCCGCGGUAAUACGGAGGAUGCAAGCGUUAUCCGGAUUCAUUGGGUUUAAAGGGUGCGCAGGCGGAUUGGUAAGUCAGGGGUGAAAUCCCACAGCUCAACUGUGGAACUGCCUUUGAUACUGUCAGUCUAGAGUAUAGUUGAAGUUGGCGGAAUGUGUCAUGUAGCGGUGAAAUGCUUAGAUAUGACACAGAACACCGAUCGCGAAGGCAGCUAGCUAAGCUAUAACUGACGCUCAUGCACGAAAGCGUGGGGAUCAAACAGGAUUAGAUACCCUGGUAGUCC
This 292-nucleotide ribosomal RNA is filed under the name uncultured prokaryote. RNAcentral describes it as "partial 16S ribosomal RNA". It matches the Rfam family "Bacterial small subunit ribosomal RNA", at positions 505 to 796 of the family's 1533-position model. The record is from RNAcentral.